This is a long non-coding RNA of Ahaetulla prasina, 974 nucleotides long. RefSeq lists it as uncharacterized. The transcript is spliced from 3 exons. Lineage: Eukaryota; Metazoa; Chordata; Lepidosauria; Squamata; Colubridae. The record is from RefSeq and is a predicted model, not a curated record.
CUCUCCCCUUUUGCCGGAGCCGGCGACUGGAAGGGUUUUUGAGAGGAGCGGGCAGCGCCCACUGCGCAGGCGCAGUGUGAAAAGUGCUUUAAGAGCAUCUUAGAGAGUUUUCAUAUCCUAAGCCAAGCAAAUAUACCUCUGCUGGGCAAAGCAGAAGGUGUAGCACAUGGUGUCUGUCAAGGUCAUCUUCCUUUCUCUGCGUACACAGUGAGUAAGAACAUUUAUGCAUCACUUGGUCAAGCCAGCAUUAAAAUACUCAAGGGAAGCAUCACACUGAUGUCACAUUACGCCAGCAGAGGCAAGCUGGGAUGAACUCCAGAAAGCAAAGAUCUAAGGAUGGACCUUUUACCCCAUAUCAACACUAAUUGGAGCCACUCUUAGAGGAAGGAGAAACACUGUAUGCAACACUAUGCUUUCAACUACCAUGUUUCCCCCAAAAUAAGACCAGGUCUUACAUUAAUUUUUGCUCCAAAAGAUGCAUUAUGGCUGAUGAAAUUUCCGGUUAGGUCUUAUUUGGGGGGGGGGGGAAAUACAGUACUAAACGUCUCAGUCUGUGUGACAAUCUUCACUGGGGCUUAUUUUGGGGGUAGGGCUUAUAUUACGAGCAUCCUGAAAAAUCAUGCUAGGGCUUAUUUUCCGGCUGGGUCUUAUUUUUGGGGAAACAGGGUAUCAAAGUCAACCUAAAAGAAUACCCUGUCAGGCCUGGAAGCCAUAUUACCUUGGUGCCACAUCCUACCAUGGGAAGUUGGGUGGGGGGAUUGCAUGAGUGAAGUAGAAUUACCUUGGUGCCCAUCCUACUAUGGGAAGUUGGGAGGGGGGAUUGCAUGAGUGAAGUAGAAUUAGCCAUAAUAAAAUUUUGCAGAGAAGUUCAAGGCCCUGGUGUCCGACAGGUGUGCUGAGAAGAAUGUGGAGGUUGUCUUCUGUAUUUGAAGGAACUGAUUGGAGCAGUGGUGGACAUGUGGGAGAAGUGGGCA